GGUUCAGUCCACAAGGCUCAAAUCUUGAAGGCAUGAGCAAAAUGUCUACACCAGCAGUUAUCCUAUGAGCUGUUUGUACAGAAAAACCAACCCAUCCCCUGACCUUGUCUCGGUGUUGAUGUUCAAACUCUCUCAGCAUCUGUUCCAGGUCAGGUCUUCCGGUGCCUAACAUGACUAGUUGCACAUCUUGAUUAAUCAUCCAUGGAAUCGCUUCUGCUAUAAGAUCAACACCUUUCUGGUGAUCAAGUCUCCCAAUGAAACCAAUUAAAGGGACAUCCUCACGGAUUGGCAAACCCAGCUCCUUCUGUAAGGCAGCCUUACACUGGGGCUUGCCAGUCUUAAGUGUCUCUAGGGAGUAGUUUGUAUAACCAUCUGAUCUCAAGAAAAUGUCAAACUGUGGGUUCCAGUCUGUAUUAUCAAUUCCAUUAACAAUGCCCCUGAGUUUCCAGUCAUUUUCAUUUAUGAUCCCAUGCAAUCCCCAACCACCGUCAACUGUUUUAACCUCCCAGGCAUAUCCAUGACUUACAGUAACCACACGGUCAGCUGUCUUCAAACCAGCUGCAAAUAUAUUGAAGUGCUCCCCUCCAAUAGGGUCAUACAAUUUGAAAAGAUCCAAGUAGUGUUGUGGAAGAUCAACGAAGGAGAAAUCACUUACCGGCCCACGACCCUGGGUCAAAUACAAUAAUGUAGUUCAUAUAUCUUCAUCAUUAUGAUUAUGCCAAGAAUUAUUUUUACCAGGAUAUCAUUCAAAAUUUCUAAACAGUUUAUUGUGUUCUGGACUUCGCUUGAAAACCAAAAACGUCCAAUAGUGGUUGGGCUCAUUUUUGCAAGUUUUUCAUGCGGUAUAGACUGGAAACUUAAGUUCCUAAACUUAAAUUGGCCUCUAAAUCUAGACAAGUUGGUCAGUUAAGUCCAAUCUCGUGAGCACAUUUUAACACAUUCAUGCUAAGAACUCUGCAGUCUCAUAUAUAAACAUGAAAAAUAGUUCAACCAACUGAUAAUGAAACCACUUGAGCUUACUUUCUAACGAUGCAGAUGCUCAAGUUUCCGACACAACAAUAUUAUCUAACAUCAAGAUUUAGUCAGAUGAGUUUUGUGC
This 1099-nucleotide long non-coding RNA is filed under the name Fragaria vesca (wild strawberry). Its description in RNAcentral is "long non-coding RNA (FVES_LNC003333)". The record is from RNAcentral. Lineage: Eukaryota; Viridiplantae; Streptophyta; Magnoliopsida; Rosales; Rosaceae.